GCAACAAAUUAAAUUCAAAAUUCAUAUAUUCGUAUGUAUUUUAUGCUGCAGAGUACUACGCAACAGACAUUUAAUAAGCAGCUUUUUUAGAAAACUGAUUCAAUUUCAAAAAUAAAUAGCACUGUUAUUUGGAUUUCAAAGAAACUGACGCCCUACAAUAGCUGAAGCCUCACACAUAUUUUUUCAAGAAAGCUGCCAGCAACUGACGGCAAGACAUUCCUACAAUAAAUCCACACCUUGGCAUAUACUCGUACAUACAUGUGCAUUCAAGCGCUUUAUGAUGCACUUGUAGAGAUGUAAAAUAAGUAUCAACUCCUCAGAUGAGCUUCACCCGAUAAUCAUUCCGAGAAUUCACGGUUAUUCUGCACGUAAUAAAUCUGUUGUUAAGUAAAAUGGCUUAAGAAGAACGCCAUAUACUCAGGCAUAGUCGCAGUUUAGUGGCGGUCAUGGGAGUAUCACCCAGAGCAGCUUCCCUACUCUUGAUGCCUGAGGCCAGCUCAUAAAUAAAUGGCAAAGACUAAGAGUAUUCAAUCACCAGUGUAGCAAACAGAGACCAUACAAUUGACAAUUAUAAUAGCACGAUUUCAACAAAGGUGGUCCCAUAGUCAUGAAAGCGUAUCUUCUACACCCUAAUUAUAACUGGGUCGCAGAACUAGACGGAAUGAUCGCAUGCAACGUAACAAAACUUAAAGAGCCGCUGGACGAAACGACAUAGUAGCAAGCUACCCAGAGAGUACCAUCAACACCUUUAUAAACUCUCUUCCCGUGAAUGGAGUAUUCGGAAUUGAACCGCCACACUUGACAAACGAGGAGCUCGAGGUGCCUCGUAAGGCCAGAGUAACGCUUAGGAGUAAUGAAAAUUGGAUCCACACAUACUACAAACUCACACAACUGCACCACUCAUCUAGGCAUGAAGAGUAAAACUCCUGAGCUCCAGCACACACACCACACCACACCACACCAGACGAGCAUACCUGAGUUGGCAACUAAGGGUAUGCCAGGAGAGAGAGCGAGAUAGAGAGAGAGAGGAAGAGAGCGAGAGAUGUGCAAAGGCUACACAACGCAUGGAAAGCAGGACUAUGCACGUCAUCUGUGGCAUGUGGCAUGCCAAAGUGCAUGUUGGCCUCAUGUAAUGUAUGUAGUAUGCAGAGUGGCAAACAAAACAACGCUCGCUCGACCUGUGUAUGGGCAAAGUUUAAGAAUUUAUUGGCAAGUUAUCUCAUUUAAGUACCAUGUAGUGGAUUGUAGCGAGUCAAAGGUGUGCGGCUAUGGUCUUUGAGGUUGGCAUUAAAGGUAGUGCAACGUUUAUUUGUCGUGUUUUUGUAAAACUUUGACACACAUAUACGAUAUAUUCUGGCAUUUGCUACAAUGUAACGCAAAGAGUUUCUUGGGUAUAUGAGUAUUCGACUUCAAAAUCAUAGGUGUUUGUUGCUUUUGGUGCAACAUCUCUGCAAAUAUCUCAAUUUGGGUCAAAUGCAUUAGCGCUGAAGACAACCGCUUUAUGGUUUUUGAGUUUACAGCUGGAAUUUUAUGUGGAUUGCACUAUAAAUAUGCAAUGAAUUUUAGUGGAAUUUGCUUGAAAAAUUAUUAAUUAAGAUAAAUUAGUUAAAUUUAAUUAUACACCGGAGAUGUGUGAUAUAUUGGGAUGAAGUGGAAAUGAGCUCUAGUGGAGAGAAAUCAAGAAAGAUGGCGGAAAUUGUGAAACACUGGAGUUGAGAGAUUUUCUAGACCAUGCUUGAGAAAACCCUGGGGAAGUUUCAAGUUUUUCGAACCCAUUAUUCUCCAGAGUAGACUGCCAGCUCCACAGACAGCAUCGUGAAUUCGUACUAACCUCGAUUUUGUUGAUUUAAAGGCUCCUAUUUGAAAGGGACCGUCUUGAAUACCGUUCAUAUUUCUCUCCAGCUUUUAUGGAUAUACCUUUGGUCGAGCUCCUUCUCUAAUUUUUGGUUCGGAUCUUGAUUUUUAUGAGCAGCCUUGAUUUUAUUGUCAGAAAUGCACUCGGUGGGGUUAAUAUUUUCUGCGGUGGGGCGAUCACUUCCUGCAAAGAGCCAUGACCGACCGAUUAACAUGGAUCUUAGCUUGAUAAGUUCAGUAUAUCGAAGCCUAUCUACAAUUGCUUUGCUUCUGGAGAACCGGCUGAACUUAAGCUUAUUGUGAAGAAGUAACUUUUUCCUCUUUCGAUUGCUAAAAGAGUAAAUUUGAGUAUUUAUGUAGCUGCGGGAGACUUUUUAGUGCUAUGACUCGUUGUUUUUUAAGUUGUGUCAUUAGGCGCACUCACCUCCUCCGCGAAAUCUUUCUGGGGUAUGUAGCAUGAAUCAUGAAAAAUAGGCUCUUUUAGCUUAAUUAUAACCCAGAAAUACAGAUUUACCGAUGGCGGCGCCAUCUAGGCGCGAAGCCCUCGCUUAAUCUGCAUGUUCCUAAUUAAAUGACUUUUUCUACGAACCUUAUCAUAAACACUUCAUUUCUUUAAGUGCCACUGGCUUAUUGGGUUCCAACGAACAGCUUAUAUAUGCUACAUAUAUACCUCAUGCAAUUACUUCCUUCUUGGAACGCUCUAAUAUAAAGUGGAAAUUCUUUACGAACCAACAAAUCAAUGAGCGCAACCAGCACAGGCUGCAUCAUAAGCUCAGAAGGUUGUGUAUUUAUAAGAAAUUCAUCUUGGCAACAUUGCCACGUUGCCGUUCUUCUCCAAGUAUUUUACACUUUAAUAAAUGCAUUUUUCAUGCUGUCAUCACGUUGGUGUAACAGCUCGAAAAGUAGCUGUUAAAUGCAAUUGCUGCUGCCGAAGUUGUUGCCGUUCCUCUUCUUUCUCUUCAACUGCUCUCUCUUUCUCUCCCUCUAUCUCCAAAUAGUUGUUGCAUAAGCUGUUAGUAAAGCUUUAUGGUUGCCGGCAGAAACUGUUAUAAUACUCGGUGCAUAUUUUCAUUUGAAGGCAAUAACAGUCAACAAACUGUCGCUGAGCGGUGAUUUAUGGUACCAAUGUUGGGUGUGAGGGUUUAGGCAGAGGUGAGCAGAGGCAAGGCGCAAGUGAUGGACAUCGCCAUUAGCAUCUUUACUAAACAGAAGUAGCAAGGUUUUGAAGGUAUACUAGUAUAUUGAGCAAUUAUGUAUGGAGAGUGAGAGUCCUCAAUCUACUUUAGAUACAUACUCGUACAUAUAUACUCGUGCAUACAUUACUUUAAUAUAUGUAUAUAUAUAUACUGUGCUUGUUUUGCAACUGGAUGAAAGUAUAACCUUUAAAGUGCUACGAGAAGUUGUUUAUACAACAACAAUGUCCACACGUGUCACACUGACGUUCCAUAAUGCACUGCCCCAUUCACAUUGAUAAUGCUGCGGCACAUGUGGCAACAUAAAUGGCGAAUACAUCGGACGGUCGAUAGGUGAUCUACGUUGGCUGAAGUAUGAUAUAAAGUAGCAGUAUGUAUGUACGUCGCGCUAACUGCUGUCUCAAGUAAUAUUUAAUAAUAAAAAACCACUAAAUAAA
Long non-coding RNA from Ceratitis capitata (Mediterranean fruit fly), 3484 nucleotides. RefSeq lists it as uncharacterized. NCBI's taxonomy places the organism in Eukaryota, Metazoa, Arthropoda, Insecta, Diptera, Tephritidae. The record is from RefSeq and is a predicted model, not a curated record. The transcript has 6 exons.